RNAcentral lists this ribosomal RNA (253 nucleotides) under uncultured bacterium. Its description in RNAcentral is "partial 16S ribosomal RNA". It matches the Rfam family "Bacterial small subunit ribosomal RNA", at positions 524 to 776 of the family's 1533-position model. The record is from RNAcentral.
UACGUAGGGACCAAGCGUUGUUCGGAUUUACUGGGCGUAAAGGGCGCGUAGGCGGCGCGGUAAGUCACUUGUGAAAUCUCUGAGCUUAACUCAGAACGGCCAAGUGAUACUGCAGUGCUAGAGUGUGGAAGGGGCAAUCGGAAUUCUUGGUGUAGCGGUGAAAUGCGUAGAUAUCAAGAGGAACACCUGAGGUGAAGACGGGUUGCUGGGCCUUACCUGACGCUGAGGAGCGAAAGCGUGGGGAGCGAACAGG